Molecule: long non-coding RNA, 887 nt
Filed under: Strongylocentrotus purpuratus (purple sea urchin)
Lineage: Eukaryota; Metazoa; Echinodermata; Echinoidea; Camarodonta; Strongylocentrotidae
Description: uncharacterized LOC115920630
Source: RNAcentral
UGUUUAUUUUGCACAGGUAUUUCACACAGAUCAAGAUUGCGUAAACUUACGAGGACAUUGUAUAGAAUAGGUAACACAGCUCAAGUUUACAUAAAUGUACGAGGACAACAUGCGUUACAAAUGUAACACAGUCUUUGUUUGUAUAAACUUAUGAGGACAUAUCAACACAGAUAAAGUUUCUGUAAACUUAUGAGGACAUCACACAAAUCAAGUUUGCAGCAACACACGAGGACUUAUUGCACAGGUAUUUCACACAUACCAAGUUUGCGCAAUCUUAUGAGGACAUUGUAUUGAAUAGGUAACACAGCUCAAGUUUGCAUAAAUGUACGAGGACAACAUGUGUUGCAAAUGAAACACAGUCUUUGUUUGUAUAAACUUAUGAGGACAUAUAAACUUUAUCUGUUUAUUUUGCACAGGUAUUUAUCUCUUUUAGCGAUCAUGAGGAGUUUAUCUCAACAAGGUUCCACUUUACAUCAUUCAGAUACAAGCAAAUUUAAACACUUCAAGUACACAUGUAGAUCAUUUUCAAAGAUUUGUUUUUAAUAAAACUCAACACUGACAACAGGAACUUGACAUACAUGCAGUUAGUCAUUCAUAAUGCAUAAAUAACUUUUCUCUUACACGUACAAAAUCUCAGAAAUCACCUCUUCAUUUUUCUUAAAUGAUAAUCUACACAAAGUCUGAUCAUUGUGAUCAUUUAUCGAUCAUUAAACACAGAAUUUUCAAAAUGAAUAUAAUCACUAAGAUUGUAAAAAAUCCUUAAAUUAGCAGCAUGUUUCUGCAUUUGUUAAUGUGAUAUUGAAAGAUUUGGUUGUGGUCGAUUGUGCAGACAUUCAGUAAUAAAAAGAAACGUCAAUUUUAAGCAUUUUCUGGAGGUAACCCCCCCC